RNAcentral lists this ribosomal RNA (497 nucleotides) under uncultured bacterium. RNAcentral describes it as "partial 16S ribosomal RNA". It matches the Rfam family "Bacterial small subunit ribosomal RNA", at positions 28 to 507 of the family's 1533-position model. The record is from RNAcentral.
GAUGAACGCUGGCGGCGUGCCUAAUACAUGCAAGUCGAGCGAACAGACGAGGAGCUUGCUCCUCUGACGUUAGCGGCGGACGGGUGAGUAACACGUGGAUAACCUACCUAUAAGACUGGGAUAACUUCGGGAAACCGGAUCUAAUACCGGAUAAUAUAUUGAACCGCAUGGUUCAAUAGUGAAAGACGGUUUUGCUGUCACUUAUAGAUGGAUCCGCGCCGCAUUAGCUAGUUGGUAAGGUAACGGCUUACCAAGGCAACGAUGCGUAGCCGACCUGAGAGGGUGAUCGGCCACACUGGAACUGAGAAAAGGUCCAGACUCCUACGGGAGGCAGCAGUAGGGAAUCUUCCGCAAUGGGCGAAAGCCUGACGGAGCAACGCCGCGUGAGUGAUGAAGGUCUUCGGAUCGUAAAACUCUGUUAUUAGGGAAGAACAAAUGUGUAAGUAACUAUGCACGUCUUGACGGUACCUAAUCAGAAAGCCACGGCUAACUACGUG